Molecule: ribosomal RNA, 495 nt
Filed under: uncultured Glomeromycotina
Lineage: Eukaryota; Fungi; Glomeromycota
Description: partial small subunit ribosomal RNA
Rfam family: Eukaryotic small subunit ribosomal RNA
Source: RNAcentral
CCAAUAGCGUAUAUUAAAGUUGUUGUGGUUAAAAAGCUCGUAGUUGAACCUUGGGCCUGGCUGGCCGGUCCGCCUCACCGCGUGUACUGGUCCGGCCGGGCCUUUCCCUCUGUGGAACCUCAUGCCCUUCACUGGGUGUGACGGGGAAGCAGGACUUUUACUGUGAAAAAAUUAGAGUGCUCCAAGCAGGCCUAUGCUCGAAUACAUUAGCAUGGAAUAAUAAAAUAGGACGUGCGGUUCUAUUUUGUUGGUUUCUAGGACCGCCGUAAUGAUUAAUAGGGACAGUCGGGGGCAUCAGUAUUCAAUUGUCAGAGGUGAAAUUCUUGGAUUUAUUGAAGACUAACUACUGCGAAAGCAUUUGCCAAGGAUGUUUUCAUUAAUCAGGAACGAAAGUUAGGGGAUCGAAGACGAUCAGAUACCGCCGUAGUCUUAACCAUAAACUAUGCCGACUAGGGAUCGGACGAUGUUAUUUUUUGACUCGUUCGGCACCUUACG